AACACCGAACGCCUUGCCAAGAGGUAAACUUGGUAGUUAUCUUUUUUUCUUUCAAUUAUUUAAAAUAGUUUGCUUAGUUAAUCAGGUUCACAUCAUCUUGAAAAGAAAAUAAAAAUGUUGAAGAUAGUAAGCCCCAUGUGAGUAUGCUCAUGGCAUAAAACCCAUAAGUACAUUCACUGUGGUGGCAUAAAAAUGAAAUAAAUAUAUUCCUGUCCUAUAAAAAUAAAAUUAUAAGAAUAAAAUUAUGAUCCUACUAAUGAGUAACAUUUAUUGAGGAGGCUCAACAUGAUAAAGGCUAGAUAUUUAUGCUAACACUUAACUAGUUUCACAAAGCUUUGUUGUUUAUUUGAGCUCCAUAGAAUUCAAGGAUCAAAGAAGACUAGCAGACGAUGGACAUCCUAAUCGCUGUCAGGGUGCUGCCGACAUACCUCCGCCACCUGCUGGCUACAUCAGAAGAAAUUACGUCAAAAUCCAGCUUGGGGGAGAGCACCCCCAUUUAUCCAGCUAAGUAUUCUACUCAUGUUUAUACUUUACUCUAAUAAUAAAAAAGAUGCACAAUCAUAAAAACCCAAAUAAAGAUUUUAUGCUUAUAUAUAUAUCUUUGCUUAGUUUGCUAAAUAAAUAAAUAAAUAAAAUUUGCUAUGAACCCUCAUGAUAAGCUCUCACAUGGAAAGAUGAAUAGUUGCUCUGCCAUGACUAGUUCUCAAAAUUGAAAUCUCUCUCAAGUUUAGGCAUCACUGUUAUUAAUUAAGAUUUGCUCUAAACCUGAACUUGUGGGAAGAGUACUUGAUCUAAAGUCUAAGUCGUUAACGAAUAUGAUAUGGGAAGGUUGAGCUGCUGUUUAUCUGUUCCUAGAGAUGCUAGAAUUCUAGAGAAUUUUAUCUUUGAAAAUCUUUAAAAUAUUACAUGAUGAGUUCCCAUAUGAUGAGAGUUUAAAUUCCUACCACAGCCAUAUAUACAUGCUUGCUAGACUUUGAGCCACACAUUUACUUUUUACUGCUUAUGAGCAUUGAGUGUGGUCAAGCUGUGUAGACCCUUAGGAGCUUGUCAUGUGGUUAAGUCAAGAUUCACUUGCACGUUCACACAUACAUGCUGCUUCUACUCUGGAAGUACGCAUCCACACACAUCCACUCAUUUCCAUCUCCAGAGCCACCUAAAAAUAUUCUACUCCUAAUCCGGGAGAGAAUAGCCAAAAACAUUUCUGUUUUACCCCUGUGAAAUAAAUGCUCAAGUUAUCUUGGUUACUACCACUUGCUAUAUUAUUUCAGGAGAUGAGUGCUCUUAAAAAAAGAGAGAGAGAGAAAAAAAGAAAGAAUACGAGGAAAUAAAAAGGGGCAAGUGCCCGAAACCUCGAAAGAAAAGAAAAAGUGAGACGAGAGGUAAAAAUGGACAAGUGUCCAACAGUAGAAUUAGGGGUACAAGAUACCCACCUGAGAGAAAAAAAAGAAAAUAUAGAGCAUCUCAUUCUCCUCAAAAAGUUUCAAAAGAGCAAGAAAGGUAUGUAUCCCCUCAAAAGAGCAAAAGUAGAAUUAGACUUUCACCAUUGUUAUCACCAUCAUCACCAUACACCAUUCAUUCGCCACGCAUGCACAUCUUGAUUUGACUGAUUGACUUGUUCUUCUGGAUCCAUGGUUUGACUAUGCAAUAAAUGUCUUGUAAGUAUGUAUUAGCUGUCUCCCACCUAUGAGCUCCAGAUAUCAAAACCUUAUUAGAGUAGGGUGAGAGAGAAGGCAAUGCCACUAUGCCCCAUACCAAAAAUACUACAUACUUUGAGAGAAGGCAUAUACCAUUACUGCCUUGGUAAGGAUCCAGAAAUACCACAAAAGAGAGACUUGAGAGAGUCAUACAAGGAAUCUCUGAGUUUUGUUUGAAAAUCUGCAAAAACUCCAGAGCUAUAGCUGAUCAAGAAUAAGAGACAUGGUGCUUGACUAGACCGUUCUAUCUUUUAACUACUCAAGACAGAAGUGACGGUUACAAGUCCCAUGGUGAAAGGUAAAUGAGUAAGUUUUAAGUCUUAACAGUUUACUCUAACCAGAGAUGAGAUCUUGUUUAAACGCAUGUGUAUCUUUAAGUUAUGAAACCACUGCAGAAACUCUUGAGUUCAUCUUUGCUCAGUGACGAGCAAAGGUUAAGCUUGGGGGAGCUUGUUGACGGUCCUUAAUGCUCACAAUUAACCAUCAACUAAUCAUAGAAAAGGAUCCAAAUACAACCAACACCUAGACUUAGGGUUUUAUCUAACAGAAUUCCACAAGUUUUGGUGUUUGUCUAUUUCUGCAGGGGGUUAUCAGGAAAUACGGAAGAAAGGCCCACACGUCGGGUUUACAUAGAGAUAUUAACGUGCCGCACAAUUAUCUACCAUCUAGAAGAGUCCAGAAGCCACGGGAGCGAACGGGAGACGUAACGGAGCCGGGCACUGGGCGCCCGCCCUCCCUUACUGGGCGCCCGCCCUCCCUUACUGGGCGCCCGCCCUCCCCCCUGGACCAAUCAGGGUGAAGUUCGGGGAUCAUGCUCCACCGACCUAAUAUUUCAAGGAAAACCACACGAUCAAUGUCGGUUUGAUCCGACGGCCCAGAUUCACUUGAAGGGACUAUAAAACCAGACCCCCUGGCCCCUGGAGAUCAUACCUCUUCUACAGAAUCAAAGCUAGGGUUUCAAUUCUUCAUCCAAGUAGAGAGGAUCCCUCUAGUUCUUCUAGUUCUACCUCUAGUUCAUCUAGAUCUAGUUCUAGUUCAUCUAGUUCUAGUUAUAGUUCCUCUAGUUCUAGUUCUAGUUAGUUCUAGUUGUAAUCUAGAAAAUAGGGAGAGAGAAGAGGAGAGCGGAGGAGGAGCCGGAUUUGUCGGAUCUUCCUCAACAUUGUACUUUUGCAGCAACUGGUUCGUUCUUCAUCGUUCUCCAGGUUCUUCAAUUCAUAAUUCCUGAGUUCUCUAAUUACUUUUAUUUACAUUCAAGUUAUUUAUUGGAUUCCCGCUUGCAUCAAGUGCUCUAGUCUUUAUAACGCUAGAGUAGUAAUUAAUAGAUUAGACGUGGUGUUUAGUCUUGCAAUUACCUGGAAUUGCACCCAAUCCUGCGGAUUGUUGUGGUAGCCUUAGUGUAGUGACAGCCCUAACGGUCGACGUAUUCCACCUCGUUCGGAUCGGUGUUUGUAGGACCGUAGUUAGACCUUCCUAGCCCCCUUCUCAUCUCUUUCUGUGGUUAGUGCUCUGAUGUCCCGAUAUAGACAAUCUUGAAGUAAUUCUUGAUUCUUAGAUCAACUAGAGAACUCUCAGGAAACUUCCUCUCUUCCCACCAAAAAUAAUUAUAUAGUUACCCUUGGGCGAUCUUGGAUCUUAAUUAGUACACUCACGUUCUCUGUGGAAAAUCGAUACUCUGGAAUACUCCCGGGUGAAGGCUACAUCGGUAUCCGUGCGCUUGCGGAUUUUUCUGUUUGCGUUUAAAAUACCCAACAGCGGAAACCCGUCUUCGCCUGAUUCUUCUUCACAGGCAGGCGAUACCGCUGGUUAGGAGUUGGAGCACGGAUCGGUGGCCUAGCUGCCACUGGAGCCUUGGAUUGAGAUGCUCCUGCCCCGGCCUCAAAAGCCCCCUUGCGAGUCUUGGUCGCAGUGUACACAGUGUUGUAGUUUUCUUGGGUAAGAGCAUCACUGACAAACUCAUUGAAAGUUGCACACUUAGUGCGGCCCAUGGUUUUCAGCAACUUGGGGCUCAAACCCCGCUUGAAGCUGGCAAUUUUCUUUGUCUCAGUGUUCACAAACUCAGGAGCAUACCUUGACAAGUGAUUGAAAGCAUGCAAGUACUCCUUCAGAGUUUUGUUGCCCUGAGUCAACUGCAUAAACUCAGUAUGCUUCAUCUCCAUGACACCAGGAGGAAUAAAAUGCCCCUUGAAAGCUUCACGGAAAAGAUUCCAGUCAAGCACAGUGUCGGCUGGAAGAGCUUCCUGAUACUGAUUCCACUAGAUGCCUGCUGGUCCCUGCAGUUGGUGAGCUGCAUACUCAGCCUUCAAACCCGCAGUCAGCCGAAGCAAGCGGAACUUUUGUUCCACCGUGUUCAGCCAUUCCUCGGCUUGAAGGGGUUCUUCCGCCUCUCUAAAAGGUGGGGGCUCAAUAUCCAUGAAAUCCUUGAAACUAUUGUACUGGUUAGGUGCUGGCUCUUCUUGUGCAAUACGACCACCCUGAUUUGCCAUCCGAUUGAUGGUCUCAGUGAGCAUCCUCUGGUUUUCUACCAUCAUUUGCAUCAGCUCAGCUAGAUUUGGUGGUGGAGGAGGGGGUGGGUUCAUGUUCGCACGUUGUUCCGCACCUCGAGUGCCGCGAGACAUCUGUAAAGACACAGUCAGUGAGCAUUGAUGAUGACAAGACUUGCUGUAGAAGAACUUAUAUUUAUGCCUGAAAGUAUUCAAGAGAAUAGCUUUACAGAAAAAGGCACAAUAAUUCAAUUCCACAAAACAACAUCACCAAUCCAACACAUGACAGAGAUAUCCGCAAUAGGCACCACAACGGAAAACAUCGUCAUAACAGAUCGAACAUGUUAAGGUUACACAUUGGGUCCAUAAAGUUAUGACACCAUCACAGUACAUGACAUGCGGCAAGAUCAAGGUUCCGGAUUACAUCAUGAUUACAAAAGCACCACUGCUACUGCCAAACUACAAAAGAUCCUCUCAUAACAACUACCCACUACUCACUACACUCCAUGCUCAUCGUCCGAGUCAGCGUCGAAGAUCGCCUCUCCAUCCUCAUCGCUAACUGGCUCAAGCUCCUCGUCCUCCACGUCCUCGUGCAAGGGUGGUGCAGCCGCUGCUGGUCCAUCUACCUCCAUACCAUCAUCAUCGGCCACAAUCACCUGAGGUCCCACCUCUAGAUACACGAGCAGAAGGCGAGGAAUAGGGAGUAACAAGUUGUUGAGACGGUGAAUCUCCACAAGACCAGCCUCAAUUUGAUCCCGCAUAUAGUUCUCCCGCUCAAGCGACUGAAUCCGGUGCAUCUCCCAAGCCCGGCGCCUGUUCUCUGACACACGGAGUGCAGUAUCCCUCUCACGAGUGACCUGCACCAAGCGCUCCUGCACUGUCUCCCUCUCUCGAGCUAACUGACUCAUCUGAUCCUGCUUAUGAUCUCUCUCCCUAAUAGCCUUCACCCACUGCUGCCUACGGUACUCUGCAAUGUCUUCCCAGUCAUUGCGGUCCUUCUGGGCUUGCUCCAGGAGCCUAGCUUGCUUGCGAAACUUGCGAGCACGCUUUUCAGCCUUCUGUUGCAUCUCCUGAGCCUGGCGAACAGCCACCAUCACCUGUGCAUAAGUGUCCUCUCGCUGACUGAACAGCUUGAGCACAGCCAUCAUAGCACUCAUAGCAGGACUAGAACUCUCAGCUCGCUCUCCCCUGCCUCGGACCAACGCACAACCAUCAGCCUGAUUCCACUCCGCUGCUGCUGGGUCAGCACGGGGAAUGGAGGCCGCUGGUCCUCCGGUCAGCUCAUCACCAAACCUCUGACAGAUAUUGAGCAGCAUAGCCUGGGCUGCAACCUGAGCUCCUUCCCAAGGAGUCUGCCCAUCUGAGUUACAGGUCCACCCUGUCCAUGUAGGCCUACCCCCAUGUGGAGGGACAACUCCCUGCACGGCAAACCACUGCAACUCUCCUGUCAUCUCCACCUCCCACCAAGAAUACUGAGGUGGCUCAGUAUACCCCACAGACUGUAGCACUCUCCAGAGUAAGGUAGGAGUGCCAAACUCGCUCAAGAAGGUGUCACUGGGGCGAGGUGAAGCGGGCACGUCCAUCUGUGGAAAGGAAUAGGAUUACCAUGGGCAGGGACGAAGCCAGAAAAAAAUUUAGGGGGGGCUGAACAAAAAUUUUACAUCAACUUAGCUCUACUAUUAUCCCUUGUAAUAAAAAAAUAUAUUAGUUUAAAGUAGUCUUAGAUUAAAAAUAUAGACCAAUAAUGAAAUUCACAAAAUAUAUCUAAAAAAUAAAUUUCUCAGCCCACCCUACUUUAUAAAUUUAUGUCUAAAAUUAGAAGAAAAACACUAGAAAUUUCACUAGGCCAGCAGCGGUAGGGGGGGCUGGAGCCCCCCUAGCCCCACCGCUGGCUUCGUGCCUGACCAUGGGUAAGAGGAGAUUAAUUUUAAGCAACAUUUAUUUAAUUAAAAGGGAUGACAUGGUAAGGGAAGGAGUAGACAGAAUGUAUGUAUGAAUGCGACAUGAUGCAUGCACGAACCGUACGUCCUCACAAACUUAGAUAAUUAAUAUUCUAACGCAUAUACGGUGGCAUACAUUCGUCUCUCGAUACGAUAACUAGCGAUUUACACGUGCGCUUUUAGAGUACCUGCAGAAAACUUCAUUGCAACCCAACAGUUCCCAAAAUAUCACUCAAGAAAGCAGUAAACUAAGUGCACAUUGCUGGGACAUGCCCAACAUGCACAAACAAUGACACCACAGCUACCCGAAAAAUUAAAUGCUCCCCAAUUAAGUUUCUUUCGUGGUUCCAUGGUUUUGACAUGUAACCACUCCAGAAAAUCACCGCGAACACUCCUCUAGACCACUGUUUGGACGAUCAUGCUCUCACAGCUCACACUUACCAGAGCGUAGGUGCGACGUUGCAUAAUUUAAAUCUAGCGACAUAUGUGGCUAGUUCACAUAUGAAGGCUACCUCCACCAUUAGACCACAGGGUAGCAUAGUGCGGUCAUCACACAUCCAUACCUGAGUACUGCCGGAGAUGCAUAAAAUAAAACCCUCCAAGUCAGUACUUAAAUAGCCACCUAUAGUCCUUAUAUGGGCAAGGAGGAUUCGACCACUGGCAUAAUUAAGUGUUGAUUUUUAAAUUUUUAUUUAAAAACCCUUUUGUUUUUAAAUACACAAACGCUGCAUUUAUAAUGUUGAACUUGCUCCGAUGCCAGCUGUCACAGAACCGACCAAAUUAUAAGAGUUCAAGUGUAGAAACGAUCGACAAGCAAUCAAGUUUCCAAACUUGAGCCCAUAUAAUCCCGGUAGUCAACUGAAAUCACAAAGGACUUCAAACCAACUUGCAACAAACCAAGAUCUUAAUAGCUCAGCACAACACAGCGAAUGUUACAUAGUCAUUCAUUGCCGUCGAAGCGGCACCACAUCGGAGUUACUUAGUUAUUACAACACAUGUUUGUAGUAGCGGAAGCAAAAUAGUUUACACACACUUUCCAAAGUUCAGUUCAUAAGUUCUUGUUAUAGCCAGAGUCGUACACCAUCCAUCCAAAAGCAGCAGGUACGAGUUGGUUAGAGAACCGUGCCCAACGGUUAGUCCUCAUCCCCAGCGGGAUGGAGACAGGUCUUGCAGAAGCCAUCAUAAAAGAUAUCAUCUGCAACAGGUGGGAAUAAACCCUGAGUACGAGAAUGUACUCAGCUAGACUUACCCAUCUAGUAAAACAUAAAAGACACCAAGGAUCAUGCAAGGCUAAAAUCAAGUGGAGCUGGUUGACUCAACAUUUACCAAAAGCUUAAAUUAUAACUACAAUGUUGUGAGAGCGUCAUAUUAAUCAUCAUUAGCCUACCAUAAGAUUAGCACCUGUACUAAAGCACUUCACUUGACUAUUACAAGCAAUAAUAACCAUAUCAAAUUCAUCAUAUGUUCUCCUUGCUAUCAUCAUUAUCACGAACCAAGUUCAUUAGUGAAUCCUACGUUUGCCGCUGCUCUGUCAAGUUCUCACUAACCGGGAGAGACGGCGAUUCGAAUCGAAUUCAUAUCCAGCUGGAGGGGUAUUCCUAGCACUCACCCAAGCAUCCCCCGUCGGAGAGCCAACGUGUCACCUUUGGUAUGACUUAGGAAUCACGGUUCCGAUCAGCGCCGCACUCCCAGGGCUACCACUCUGCUAGGUGUUGACGGUCCUUAAGUAUCAAAUUUAAUUAUCAAAUAAACAAAGAAAAGGAUCCAAAUGAAAUCAACAUCUAGACUUAGGGUUUUAUCUGACAGAAUUCCACGAGUUUUGGUGUUUGUCUAUUUCUGCAGGGGGUUAUCAGGAAAUACGGAAGAAGAAAGGCCCACACGUCGGGAUUACAUAGAGAUAUUAAUGUGCCGCACAAUUAUCUUACAUCUAGAAGACUCCAGAAGCCACGGGAAGGAAGCGGAGGCCGAACGGGGCCAGAGGCAGGGUGCCCGCCCUGUUUCCCUGGGUGCCCGCCCCCUCUCUAAGUCCAAACAGGACUCUGUUUCGUGGGAGAUCUCCACCGACCUAAAGGAUCAAGGAUAACCGUUCAAUCAAUGUCGGUUUGACCCAACGGCCCAUAUUCACUUGAAGGGACUAUAAAACUAGACCCCCUGGCCCCUGGAGGAGAGAGCCUCUCAACCCUAAUUCAUUAUUCCUCAAGGGAGAAGUAUUGAGCUACCACAUCAAUUAGAUAUCUAGAUUAGCAUAGCUACAUAGGAUUAGAACUAGAAGGAGUCAAUCUUCGAUUGGUUUCUGGAUCUGUCAAGAGGAUUCUUGGUAAUUCUCUAAUUGUGCUUCUAAUUGUUCUUCUAAUAAUCUUUUUUCUUCAAUAUUAUGAAUAUGACUUUGUUCUACUUCAAUAUAUUACUUAUGACUUUGCUCUACUUGUUUAUAUUCAAGAUUAUAUUAUUCUUAGUUUAUCAUAGUUAUGUACUUGGCUUAGUUAGAUUGGAUCUAUAUACAUGCUUAGGAUCGUAUAGCAUUUAUCCAUCGGAUCCAUGGGUAAAUGAUAGAUAUUGUGUAGGCGUGGUGCUUAUACCGUAUUUAUCUGCGAUUGUACCCAAUAUGCUAGAUCGUGGGGUAGUUCGUGAUAGUGACAGCUUCAUUGAUUCUUGUAUAGUCCCCCUCUCGUGUAUUGGGCUGGCAGAGCAAUAUUAUUACAGGGGAGUGAUUGCUAUGUUUCUCAUUUACCUUGCUAAUAUCACUAUGCAUGGGCGUAGUCUUGUCUCGCAAUGAUUGCUAAGUAUGCUUGCACUAACUAUGAUAAUGCUAGACUAUAUAGUUGAGAAUAACUUAGGAAAUAUUCUUGUAGUUCGUUCUAAUACCCUGCUAAUGACUUUCUAGAGUAUCUAAUUGAGGUGUUUAUCAUAUUUAUAUGUGGCUGAUCAGAUUAAAUAUCUUUGUCCCUAUUCAUUACUUCAUAUAUCUUUUAUGUGACACUUAUCCCUGUAUGAAAGAGUUAGAUAAAUGUUCUCAAUUAUACAUGCAAUGAUAGAUACUCAAUCUCAUAUUCUAUUCUGUAAUCAAUAUUGAUGAUUGCUAAUCCCUUCCCAGUGGUAAAAAUAUAAAUAACGAUACCUGGAAUACUUCCCGGUUAAAAUGCUACAUCGGUAUUAAUCUGUGCGCUUGCAGAUCCCAUUCAUUAUUUAUUUAGAAGAGCAAUUGCAUAUUUCAAUACUGCGUCUCUCAUGUCAUGCUGGGGAUGACAACUUGGCUUAAGUGGUAUGAGGGAUAGGUUUGGCAUUUUUGGCACCGUUACUAGAAUUAGAAAACUGUCUACUUUUGGUAAUGAUGUUAAGAAUACCCAACAAGCAUUUUUUGGCGCCGUUGCCGGGGAAGGUUGAUUACUAAUGAGGAAUGAAUAAAGGAUUUUGAGUUAUCAUUCGCAUCACUAAUAUGAUUGAGCUUAUCUAUUCUCUCAUACAGUUUUACCCUGGUAUUUUUCUAUUUUAUCUUAUCCAGGGGAAUGUAUGAAUAGAAGACAUCUUCCAGGAAAUUUUGUUGACAAUCCAGAAGCCUUAUUCAGAAAAACUAGAGCCAAGCUCAAGAAGAGAUCAUCAACACUUCAGCAAGAAGCUUCAUCCAAUCAAGAAGAUCACCAGAACUUGUCUUCAGAGUUCGAAGCCAUGGCGAACAAAUCAAUCCGCAAGUUCUCAGCUGUACGGACCUGCUGCAGAGAUCGACGGCAACUUUGAGCUCAAGCCUGGACUUAUCAACAUGGCGCAAUCCAACCAGUUCUGUGGGAAGGCACAUGAAGAUGCUAGUGCCCAUCUCCAACACUUCCUGGAGAUUUGCAGCACAUUCACCAUAUCAGGAGUUCCCAGAGAUGCUAUACUACUUCACCUCUUCCCAUUCUCACUGUUAGGAAGAGCGAAGCAGUGGUUCUACGCUACAAAGGAGAAGAAUACUACGUGGGCACUCUGCUCAACAAACUUCCUGGCUAAGUUCUUUCCCAUGGGCAAGACCAAUGCUCUUCGUGGGAAAAUUACAAGUUUUCAGCAACAAAAUGAUGAAUCUGUUCCAGAAGCAUGGGAGCGUUUCCAAGACUACAUCCUAGAAUGUCCCCAUCAUGGAAUGGAGAGUUGGCUAUUGAUGGAGACAUUUUAUCAUGGGCUCGGCAACCGUGCCCGAGAGACCAUGGAUGCUGCAGCUGGAGGAGCAUUUUUAUCACUUACUAUACCACAAGCCACAGCUCUUGUGGAGAAGAUGGCGUCCAACCAAGGCUGGAAUGAAGAGAGGACCCAGACACGCAAGAGAGGUGGAGGUAUGCAUCAGCUCAAGGAAGUAGACAUGCUGUCUGCAAAGCUAGACCUGCUCAUGAAGAAGCUCGACGAUAGAACUGGAGAUAAGAAGGAAGUUAUGCACAUCUACGACUCUCACAUGACUUGUGAGGAGUGUGGAGAUACUGGACACUCAGGCAAUCACUGCCCUGAGAUACUUGAGGAUGUGAACUACAUCAACAAUAACAACAACAACAACUACAACCGUCCUCAACAAAAUCAAGGUUGGAAUCAACAGAGGCCUAACUACUCAGGAUUAAAAUCUACAAAUCUUGUAGACAUGUUUGAUGCAGGUAAUUAGAGUAACCCCGUCACUGAAGUUACUACUGACCUUCUGCCGGUCAAGAAAGGUGAUCCAGGAUGCCCCGUCAUCUCGAUCUCCAUCGACAUGGUGGACUUCCCAGAAGCACUCUGUGACUUUGGCUCUAGCGUCAACAUUAUACCCAGGGUACUCUAUGAAAAAUUCUUUACAUAUCCUUUAUUAGAAACAACCAUGUGUUUGCAGUUUGUAGAUUAGACGAUAAGUUUUCCAAAAGGAAUAUUGAAGAACCUUUGUGUCCGAGUUGGUACCUUGUACGCCCCAGCGGACUUCGUGGUGAUAGAGACCGGUAAUGAUGAGAGAGCACCCAUCAUCUUAGGGAGGCCAUUCUUAAACACCUCGGGAGCUGACAUCUACGCUAGUGCUGCUAAGAUCAGUUUCUACAUCAAAGGGAGGAAGGAGAUGUUUUUCUUCAAGAACAAGACUACACAAAUCCCAGAUCAAUCCAGACGUGAAUCAAGGAAGAGGACCAAUAGGAGGAACAGGAACAAGCAAGUGUGGACCGAGUCAGCGAAGAUGGUCACUGCAGUUCAUGGAGGCCAAGAUCAUCAACUUAAGUCACCGUUUUUGACCAAGAAGGAUGACCCAGGAAUGCCAAGCAUCUAUUGCUCCAUAAAUGGAUACAACUUCUACAAGACGUUUUGCGACACCGGAUCGGGCGUCAACAUAAUGGCCGCAGUCACCUAUCGGCUCUUGUUCGGAACCAUGCCACUAAGACCAACAUACAUUCAGCUCUAGAUGGCAGAUCAGACAUUUCGAGAAGUUAAAGGAAUAGUAACUGAUGUCCCAGUCAAAAUAGAUGAUCAUUUUUUCUACACAGACUUUCAGGUUAUUGACAUGGGAGAAGAUGAGUACGAUCCACCCAUCAUCCUUGGAAGACCGUUCCUCAGCACCGUUAAAGCAAUUAUCUACAUUGGAACCGGAGAAGUCCAUAUGCACUUCCCCUCUGAGAAGGUACGACGCUAUUUUAUUGACCCUAACUAUAUCUUUGAAGAAUCUAAGCAGGUCAGGAAACAACGCAACCGCAACCAGAGGAGGCAAAUCAUCAAGGACGGAUGGGCAGACUACGAAGGAGAAGUGAUAAGAUCAGAAGACGUAGAGUUUAAACAGAAUUAUCCAGAGGAGACCGUAGCACCGAGUCAGGUAUGGAGAGAGAAGAUAACUAUACAUGAAGAAGAGGCGCCGCCGGAAGUACCGACUACAUCCGAGGACAAUCGAGAAAGAGAAGAGUCCCGUUCGAAGGACUUAAAAACACCGAAAGCCUUGCCAAGAGGUAAACUUGGUAGUUAUCCUUUCCCUUUCAAUUAUUUAAAAUUGUUUACUUAGUUAAUUAUGCUAUCUUAAAAAAAGAAAAUAAAAAUGUGAAAAAUAGUAAGCCCCAUGUGAGUAUACGAGUGGCAUAAAACCCAUAAGUACAUUCACUAUGGUGGCAUAAAUAUAAAAUAAAAAUAUUUCUUUUCUGCUUUAUAAAAUGAAAAUAUAAAAAUAGGAGUAACAAUUAUUGAGGAAGCUCAACAUGAUAAAGGCUAGAUAUUUAUGCUAACACUUAAUCAGUUCCACAAGCUUUGUUGUCUAUUUGAGUUCCACAGAAUUUAAGAAUCAAGAAGACUAGCAGACGGAGGACAUUCUAAUCGCUGUCAGAAUGCUGCUGACUUUCAAAUACACCUCUACCACCUGCUAGCUACAUCAAGAGAAAUUACGUCAAAAUUCAGCUUGGGGGAGAGCACCCCCAUUUAUCUCGCUAAGUAUUUCUAUCUAUCUUUAUACUUAUAUUAUAUUAGAAUAUAAAUAUAUAUAACUAUGAAAAACCAAAUAAAGAUUUUGUGCUUAUAUAUAUAUCUUUUGCUUAGUGUGUUUAAUAAAUAAAUAAAGUGGUUAUGCUAAUCUGAAUCUUAAUAAUAAAACUCUAGCAUGGAUAUGAUGAAUAGUUGCUCUGCCUAAUUUACACAUUUUAAGUUCUCUCUCAAGUUUAGACAUAACUGUUAUAAUUUAAAGCUUGUUCUAGACUUAAACUUGUGGGAUGAAAACUUGAUCUGAAGUCUAAGUUGUUAACGGUUAUGAUAUGGGAAGGUUGAGCUGCUGUUUAUCUAUUCCUAGAGAUGCUAGAAUUCUGGAGAAUUUUAUCUUUAAAAAUCUUUAAAAUGUUGCAUGAUGAGUUCCUGUAUGAUGAGAGUUUAAAUUACUACCACAGCCAUAUAUACAUGCUUGCUAGACUUUGAGCCACACAUUUACUAUUUACUGCUUAUGAGCAUUGAGUGUGGUCAAGCUGUGUAGACCCUUAGGAGCUUGUCAUGUGGUUAAAUCAAGAUUUCACUUGCACGUUCACUCAUAUAUGCUACUUCUACUCCGGAAGUACCAUCCACAAAUAUCCACCCAUUUCCAUCUCCAGAACCACCCAAAAAUAUUCUACUCCUAAUCCGGGAGAGAAUAACAAAAAAUAUUUCUGUUUUUCCCUUGUGAAAUAAAUGCUCAAGUUAUCUUGUUACUACCACUUGCUAUAUUAUCUCAAGAGAUGAGUGCUCUAAAAAAACGAGGAAAUAAAAAGGGGCAAGUGCCCGGAACCUCGAAAGAAAAGAAAAAGUGAGACGAGAGGUAAAAAUGGACAAGUGUUCGACAGUAGAAUUAGGGGUGCAAGAUACCCACCUGAGAGAAAAGAAAAAAAAAGAAGAGCAUCUCAUUCUCCUCAUAAAGUUUCAGAAAGCAAGGAAGGUAUGUAUCCCCUCAAAGAGAAAAAAUAGAAUUAGACUUUCACCAUUGUUACCAUCAUCACCAUAUACCAUUCAUCCGCCACACAUGCACAUCUUGAUUUGACUUAUUGAUUUGUUUCUUUGGAUCUAUGGUUUGACUAUGCAAUACAUGUCUUGUAAGUAUGUAUAUUUUAUCUCCCACCUAUGAGCUCCAGAUAUUAAAGCCUUAUUAGAGUAGGGUGAGAGAGAAGGCAAUAUCACUAUGCCUUAUACCACAAAUACCAUAUAUAUAUUGAGAGAAGGCAUAUACCAUCACUGCCUUGGUAAGGAUCCAGAAAUACUACAAAAGAGAGAUCUAAGAGAAUCAUACAAGGAAUCUCUGAGUUUUAUUUGAAAAUCUGCAAAAACUCUAGAGCUAUAGCUGAUCAAGAAUAAGAGACAUGGCACUUGACUAGACUGUUCUAUCUUUUAACUACUCAAGACAGAAGUGACGGUUACAAGUCCGAUGGUGAAAGGUAAAGUAAGUAGGUUUUAAGUCUUGAUAGUUUACUCUAACUCAGAGAUGAGACCUCAUUAAAAAGCAUGUGUACCGUCAAUUUUUAAAGAUAUUGCAACAACUUCUGAUCCAUCACUGAGUCUAUCCUUGCUCAGGGACGAGCAAGAGGUAAGCUUGGGGGAGUUUGUUGACGGUCCUUAAGUAUCAAAUUUAAUUAUCAAAUAAACAAAGAAAAGGAUCCAAAUGAAAUCAACAUCUAGACUUAGGGUUUUAUCUAACAGAAUUCCACGAGUUUUGGUGUUUGUCUAUUUCUGCAGGGGUUAUCAGGAAAUACGGAAGAAAGGCCCACACGUCGGGAUUACAUAGAGAUAUUAACGUGCCGCGCAAUUAUCUUACAUCUAGAAGACUCCAGAAGCCACGGGAAGGA
RNAcentral lists this long non-coding RNA (14363 nucleotides) under Sorghum bicolor (sorghum). RNAcentral describes it as "long non-coding RNA (SBIC_LNC010360)". Lineage: Eukaryota; Viridiplantae; Streptophyta; Magnoliopsida; Poales; Poaceae. The record is from RNAcentral.